CACUCAACAGUUUCCCGUAUGUAUCAAGAAUGGUCCGACACCCAAUGAACAUCCAGCCAACUUGACACAACUGUGGCAAUGGAGUCGACUUUGGAGUUCAUGACCUGACGAAUUAAGGCUGUUCUGAGGGCAAAAGGGGGCAGGGGGGGGUGACCUCAGGUUCCUAAUGUUUGGUAUAGUCAUUAUACACAGUAGAGCAGUGUUGAGAGAGAACACACUAACAGACACACACACCGUACAUGCAUUGGAUCACAUAUCUCGCGUACACACACACACACACACUCGACUAGCAACACUUCUCUGUACCACCAAGCAGUUCCAGAGACCCUUUCCUGCUUCACGCUUCAACUUAGGCAUUAUCUUCCUCAUCCUCCUAAGGAUGAAGAGUAUUUACCUGCAUGCUAUGCCAGGCUACAUCUAUCUACUAAUACAUGUCAUUACUGUACUCCUCUCUGGGUUGAAGGUAGGGUGAUACUGUCAUUACUGUACUCCUCUCUGGGUUGAAGGUAGGAUGAGACUGUCAUUACUGUACUCCUCUCUGGGUUGAAGGUAGGAUGAGACUGUCAUUACUGUACCUCCUCUCUGGGUGGAAGGUAGAGACUGUCAUUACUGUACUCCUCUCUGGGUUGAAGGUAGGGUGAGACUAAGGAGUUAUAGUUAUUUUGCUGUAGUCUUCAGUACUGAAGUCACUCAGUUGUUCUAUUAGCUGUAGUGAGAUCUGUAAACGUGUCCGUUUGUCUGAGGUAAGAUACAUGACCUAAAAACACUAUCGAUCAAUCGUACAUUUUCAUAAAAUGUAAAGUGUGUAUGUAUAUAUAUUCAUUGGAUGGUUUGUACUGAAGAUCUGACCAACAGUGGCUGGUUGCUGUGCAUUGUGGUUCACUGUCACUCAUUUUAAUUUGUUGUCUCUGUGUGAAGUCUGGAAGGAAUUCCUCGGGUUUGUUAGACAGAGUCUUACAACACGGUUAACCUGUACUGGCUAAUAAAAUAAUGUC
Salvelinus sp. IW2-2015 is the source of this 995-nucleotide non-coding RNA. Lineage: Eukaryota; Metazoa; Chordata; Actinopteri; Salmoniformes; Salmonidae. The record is from RefSeq and is a predicted model, not a curated record.